AUGUCAGAGACAAGUAGAAUGGCAAGCUUAGAGUGAGGGGAGCCAGUGAGAUAGGAAUCAAGACCAGCAAAUUUCUCAACAUGGCCUGCACCUGCAGUGGGGUUAAUGGUUGGUGGGUUUGAGCAACAUUGUGGCCCUGACAUUGCUCUUCUCUUCUCUGCAAUUCACUUCACAGCUCUGCUCUUGGGGAUCAAAUUUUGGAACAGAGAGAGAGAGAGAGAUGACGUGAAGAAAUGGGAGAUUCCACUUUGCUAUUGCUAUGCACUCAUAUCAUUGUGGUCCAUAUAUGGACAACUGCAGGAUGUGGCAACCAUACAAAUUUGAUUUAGGCUUUUUUAUUAAAUUUUACAGUACCAUUGUUUUUUUUUUUUUUGAUAAGCUUACAGUACCAUUGUAAAUAAAUCAAACAAAUAUUGUUUUUUUAAUCAACAAACAAAAAUAAUAGCUUCGUGGCAAGGGACAUCACUACCCUAUUCCGAACCAGAUUAGUCACGUGAGUUCUUUUUUUUUUCCGUAGAGACUGAUGACCAAAAGAUAAAAAAAAAGACUUUAAUUAUUGUGCACCGUUAAUAUUUAAUUCUACAUUUUUAUGGAGACGUCCAAUAACUGAAUGACACAUAUUUUCAUAAUUGAAUGUUUAUGUUAAAAAUGUUAAGAUAACCAUUAUUUUUUUUAAUCUAAAAACCCUCUAUAUCUAGAAGAAUAGAACUUAUAUACAUUCCCACACCACUUAAAUCAAAAGGGGUUGAAGAAAAUCUCACAAAUUUAUGAGAAGUUUUUUUUUUUUUGAAAUGAGAAGUUGAUUUUUUUGGUUACAGGAGGAAAAGUAACUAAAAGACAGAAAAACUAGCUAAUUGCAUCUAGAUACAAACUAUCAUAAACAAAAGACGGUGGUCUCGCCCAAACUUGGAUCGGUGUAUCACUCUUCCCCGCCUCACGAGCUAAACAAUCAGCAGUAUUGUUCUUCUCCCGCUGGAAAUGCAAGACACUGACGCUCUGAAACCUGGCAUCAUGCUCCUUGAUUUUACUAAAUGUAAAUUUAUUCCUUGUAAAAAAAAACUAAAUUAAAUUAUGUAUCUUUAUCCCAUCAUGUUCAAGGGUAAAAAUUCUAUCAUGUUCACCAAAAGUUGGGCCUUUUUUACCGUCUUUUUUAACCCUUUUUAUCUUACAAAAACUAAAAUAUGAGAUUAAUGCUGAAAAUAUCUAUAGACUAACCAAAUUAACAGAUUAAAUCAAUUAUGACACACACAUACUACACAUUGCUAAUUGUGAUCUUUUAAAAAAAAAUCCCUAAUUGUGUCUCACACACGUAGAGAGAAAGUUAUAAGUUUCUCUGCUGUGAACUCUUAACUCACCAUAGCAAAAAGUUAGGCCCGUUAGAGUUUAACUUGCCUAGCAAGUUACAAGCGCAAACGUGAACCUGUGAGUGAGUCUCAGUGCAUGUUGGUUUGAGGUUAGAACCCAGGCAAAUUUGAUUGGUUUCACUUAGUGUAAGACACCAAUGGAAUGGAGAAGCUAGAAUUUGGCGCGCUAUUUUGACAAGUCAGUGAUAUGUAAAUUUGAAAUUUUAUCUAAUAUGGGUUAAUGCUGCUGCGCAACGCAGAGUUCAGCACCUCGAUCUCAACCUUUAUAGUAAUUCACCGAUCAACUUGUCGUCCAUCUUCAGUUGCAGGACUCUUGUGGUUCUCAGGUUGCAGUGGUUAGAUUUGAAUCAGUUUUCCUCUGUUGUUGAUUUGCCAUUCCUUAAAGUCCUGCAUCUGCAAGAUUUGUAUUUCUCAGAACGCGAAUAUCUCGCCGAGCUUCUUGAGGAUUUGAAGGUGAGUGGAUUGAGUUUUGGUAAUUAUGUCACUGACAGAGAGUUUAAAACGUUACCCAAGUUGGUCAGAGCAGAUAUUUCAGUCAUACAUACAUGUUUUUUGCUCAUGGUGGUCAACAAUGUCGAGUUUUUGCACUUAGAUGAGGUAAUGUGAUUAAUUUAUCCAUCAUUCUUGUUCAUUCCUAUUGACAAUGAUAUAUUUGAUUUCUUGAAAUUGUAAUCAAUGAUGCAGAUUUAUUUUAGACUCUAUGAGACUCAAUGGAUGUACAGCAACACUCUAACACAUGUUGAGCUUGUCUAUAGAUACUAUAAUCCUGAUUGGUCUCAGGUAGCGGAAUUGCUCAGUCAUUGCCCCAAGCUUCAAGUUCUUGUCAUAAACCUGGUUUUGCUUAAAAGAUUAGGAUGAUUUCUAUUUUUUCAUCAUUUCUACACAUGUUUUCAUUUAUUUAUUUUGUGUUUAUUGUUGGCAGCCUUCGGAUCCUCCUAGCUCUGUCUUUGAAGAAUUGGAAAAAAUAGAAUUUUGGCAAUCUCCACCAUCGGUUCCUGAAUGCAUUCUAUUACACCUUAAAAGAUGCUAUCUAAAUGGGUAUAGAGGCACCAAAGCUGAGUUUAGGUUUGCAAAAUAUAUUAUACAGAAUUCAAGAUUUUUAAAGAAGAUGACGAUAACCAGCAACAUUGCUGAAAUUCGAAAGUUUAAGAUGUUAAAAAAACUAUCCUCAUGCUCAAGGCACUCCGCGAAUUGUAGACUUUCCAUUGAAUGAUAACAAACAAGAUUUGGUACUUGCAUUCUGCAACUUGUAGACUUUCGUUUCAUUUCUUUGUUUUAACUAGUACACAUGUAUUUGGUACAUCAUGAUUAGAUGCUAUUACUUCACUUUGUUGGCUGAGAAAUUAGAGGGAAAUACCAACAACAGUCAACUCAACAAAUAAUACAUAAUUGUGAUUUUAACUUGUAAGUUCAUAUGUUAAUUCAUCUAAUCAGUUCAAAAUAUAUAACCAAUAAGUAUGCAAAGAAAUAAUAAACAAAUGGACAGGCUGAUAAUAAGGGAACUUACCACCCCAACAAAAAGAGGCAGCCCCUAUGGCCAAAACACCUUUAUCUUUUAAAGCUUCAAUCACUGGUUUUGCAUCUUCAAAAGCUUUGUUCUAUCAGCAUAACAUUACAGUAUAAGAGCAUGAUGAAUUAUGAUUUAAAAUAAGGAACAAUUCUUUUACAUUUGAUUGGUGAAAACCACACUAAUUUUUCAUCAAAUACCUUAAAUGUCAUAAAAGGUAGAUAACUAAAAUUAACAGCAAUGUGUGGAGAGAAAUCAACUGUUAAUUACAGUGAAAAUGACACAUAAUUUAGAGAUCUAAAUCCAAACCAUAAAUGCUUAAAUGUCAGCAUUACAAAUUUCAGCUAGGAUACAAAUUUUCAGCUUACAAGUACAGAUAAACCCUGAAGUAAAAGAACUCACUGGUUCAUGAUCUUUUAACCAAACAGGUAGAAGCCUGGUAGCAUCCUCUGAGGAAAAUGGAUCUCCGUGUAAAAAAUCAGGAACCACUACAUAGUACCAUGUAGCUGCAACCUUGUCUGCAAGUUUUCUUAACAACAGAGAACAUAAAUUUCCAUUGGAAUACUUCAGAACUCACAACUAAUAUAUAAUAAGUACAAAUGGAUCAUUGUACAAAAUAGGAAUCUUUAUACAAAUGUGUACUGUUUAACACAUACUAAUCAGCAAGAUAAAUAAGUACAAAUGCAUUCUCUUUGAAGAUUUAAAACUUAAUCACCAAUAACAUGACAUUCAGGAUAGAUUGGGGCAGAAGACCAUUUUAAUUGGAAUCAGACUAGUUGAAUAACAUGACAUUCACCAAUAACAUGCAUUCUCUCAGUCAUGUCUUCCAUUGCAGCAGAUAUCACCAUUUUAAUUGGAUUCAGACUAGUUGAAUAAAAUAUUGAGCAGAAGACCAGCUUGAUGCAGAAAAGACGAUUUACAUUUGCAGAUGACCAAAUAAAAGGGGAAAAAUUGAACACGGAAAACAAACACUAAAAUUGUCCAUACCUUAGAAGUGGAGCUUCAUAUCCUACAAGGCAAUGGAACGUGUGAAGUUAAAAAUGUGAUGCCGGUUUUGAAUCAAUAACUUUAAAUUAAAACUGAAGUAUUAUCAAUCAUAUAAAGAAGCAAAGCCACUCCCCGCGUCACAAAUAUGUCUAGAAGAAAAUAACAGGAAUAUCUGUUAACACUAGCGCAGUGCAAAUGGAUGUUAGCACGUGCUGCAAGAUAAAUCAAAUAUAGUGUAAUAUCAUAUCCAUACAUAUGUAACAAAACGAAAAAGUGACCAUGAUGAUAUAAGCCAGUACUGAGAAAAAGGAUGAGUUUCAAGUACCAAAAACUUCAGAAACCAUAAGAAUGGCAAGCUUGGAAUAAGAGGAUCCAGUAACAUAGGUGUCUAGGCCACCAAGUUUUUCAACAUGGCCUACCCAGGACUCAGGACCUGACAUAUUUUUCUUCUGUAAUGUGUUCAGAACAUGGCCUAAUUUUCUCACUCUUCAGGAUGUUUGUUUGUGUCUGAAACUAAAUAUAAAAAAUAAGAUGUUAGACAAGAUUUAAGACUUGGUGCCUUUGUUGCUUGUGCAAUGUUGGAGAAAGACCAAAAGCAGUGAUUCAGGAAAAAGAAGAGGAAUAAUAAUAAUGCUAAAAUGUAAACAUGCAUCAUCUCUUACGACCAACUUAUUGGUGGGCAAGGCAAAGUUCGGUCAAACUGAUUACUCAUUUGUACUUGUGACAGAUAAAAUAAAAGAAACAACCAAGAAUUUGAUGAUAAUAUAAAACUUUGGAAGAAUGAGAGUAAAAGAUUACAAUUGCAAUAUUAUUCAAUGAAGGGAAAAUUAUUUUAAUUGAAAUUGGGAAAGAAAAAAAAUGCAACACUUAAAUUUGAACCGAGAAUGUUCUAAAGCUAGCUUUCCAGAUAGAAGAACGUUUAUAAUUAUUUAAUUGGUAGCAUUCCUAUAAUUAAAAUAUUAAACAAUGAAAAAUGUGGAUUUUGAUAAGAUAGGUUAAGAGAAGUCAACUAAUGAGAUAAAUAUCGCCACCAAAGGGUCAUAAAAAAAGGGGGCUUACUAGUUUAAGUAGAAAAUCAUUUGUCCUGCUAUUGUUUAUUAGCUAUUAGCUAUUUAGGAAGUAUGUAUGUUUUUGGUCUAACCACAAGUAUCAUCUUUAAGACAAUCAUGUUCGAUCCGGGUGUGGUAAUUGUUAGAAGUCUCCCAAGAGUGCGUUACCUAAGGAUCGAAUUAUCGACCUCAGGGGUUCAAACAACCACUUUUAACCAUUGCGACCGACACUCAUUGGGUGAAGCAAGUAUCUUUUAAUUUUUAGAGAAAAUUAUUAAUAAUUAAUAAUCAAGAAUAUUUUAUCAGAAGUCAGUCUAAGAAAAUACCUGGGUAUAAGCAACCAUCAAAGGUUGGGGAUUCUAACAUAAAAGUCUUGAAAUAUAAUUCCAUAGCACAACUUAAAUCACAACUCCAACAAACUUAUAAACGAAUGCAAUAGCACAACUUAAAUCACAAGUCCAACAAACUUAUAAUCGAAUGCAAUAUUACUACAAUGAGUCUACCAAUACGAUCCAUGUCCAUUGUCCAAGACACAACAAUACAGCAUUUAAUGACCAAAAAAAAAAAACAAUACAGCAUUUAUUUUACACCCACUCAAGCAUUUAUUUUCUUAUAAACUGUAAGCUACAUUUGUGGAAAUAUAGGCAUAGCCAUUUUAGAUCCUCCACAACCAACAUGUGCAAACCAAUCCAGCUAAAUUUCUCACUUGAGAUGUUUAGCAAACCAGUCCAGCAAGUCCUGAUGGGCCUCCUCUGCUUCCUUCACAGCUUCUGUAUCUUCCAGGUUGUAUCUCACACUCCAACCGUGUGAAACUUUAGGAAAUAUUUUCACAAAACUAGCAACCUGCACAAAAACAAAAAUUGGUUCAUGAGUGAUGGGCGGUAUCUUACAUACAUGAGGUAUUCUUGCAUAUGUGCAAAUUCAUAGCACGUUUGGAUUAACUUCUAUAUCCUCAUAAUCAAUUUUGGAACCCAUAAGCUACUCACAGGAAGCUUCUUCCCAUAAUUAAUUUUGGUUUUAGAAUCAAUCAAUUGUAGAAUGAUUUCCAAAAUCCAAACAUGCAUCAAUGUCUGAUAAAAAACAAUUUCUUGUCUAGAUGAGCAAUUAUAUAUUGCAUGAGGAUCCCGGUUUAAAAAUGUCAAUUUAGUUGCCCAUUUGCACAGUUGUGAUGUAUAUCUUGUACACCAUGUGUCAACACAAUUAUUUUCAAGACACAAAUAGUAGCAAAAGAAAAAGUGAAAAAGCUAACCAAACUGAAUUGACUGAUUACAGCAUCUUGUAACAGAUGAUGUGUGUAGAGAACCCAAAAACAUGAACAAUAGCAAAUCAUCAAGGUAAUAUAAAAGGCUGGACACAAAAAAAUGACAAUUAUGUGACCUGAGAUUUUGCAGCUAGGACUUGCUCAAACUGUUUCACAAGCUCUGGAGGAGAAAUUGUGUCAAUCUCAGCAGCAAGUACAGAAAUUGGAAUAUCAACACCUGAACAGAAGAGCAAUAAUUAACUCUUGGAAUAUGAGCAUCUCAGUCACUGCUUUAAGAAAUCUGUUUCUUGUCUUUUUUUCAUUCAUUGAAAAAUUACAAGUUAAUAAGUUCUAAUGAAAGAAGCUACGGAUGAAAUAGAAUUUUUUCACAAUGGACUAUACCAACAUGAGUUCAACAUGAUGUUACAGAAAAAGCAAAGAAACAGGAGAAAUUGGAGGGGGGAUGCCAAUUUAAAUUACCCCUAUGUAGCACAUAAGUUAUAACCAGCCUCUACAUGCGUAAGAUUGCAUUGCAUACCAAAUCCAUAAAAACCCGCCUCUCAUUAAGUCUACAUACAAUUGAGUUCCUAAUAUUUUGCACUAAUGUAUACUUGUAUAAUAUACCAAAUACAUAAAAAUAGUGAACAUGAAUCAUGUGGUUGUCAAGUGUAUAACUAUAUAAAGCUGUCAUUCAAAAGACACUCCAUUGUUGCUGCAGGUAUUGCUCAUCUUCUGGACAAAUAUUUAAUCAUCUAACAUCUAAUCAAAUAAGCAUAUUUUUUUGUUUUGUGUUAUACUAAAACAGCUUUCAACCAGAACUUCUCUCUGCAGCAUUUUGACUAAGUUUAAAUGAAAAAGAAAUAGUUAUAUAACAGUAGAUUCCAAUAUAAUUUGUAUUUUACAAGAAGGAAAGAAAAGAAAAGAGAGGAAAAAAGUAAAGGCAAGUAGUCCCUUAGCAGUUAAUAAAUUAGUAAUGAAAAAUAUAUUUCUUCAAAUAAGUGAAUAUAAAUAUAAAGAGAGGAGGACUCCAUUUACUCCAGGAGUAAGUUAAAAACCUACUCCAAAUCUUUACCCUUAUUUUUAGAUACUGCACAUUAGCAUGGGAAGUGACAUUAUGCCAAAAAUGCUUAAAUUGAUGAAAACGACAAUUGACAAGUUUUUCUGUUUUUCCUAACAUGAAGCUCCAACAUAAUCUUAGUAGUCUUUUUCCCGCAUAAGAUGCUAAAAGACAUUUCCUAAACAAAUCGCAAAUUAAGGAAAUAUAUCUUAACAUUGAAAAUUUAUACCCUUGAUAUCAUCCAAAGAGACAAACGAUGGAUGCAAUAGCACAGCAGCUUGGAUCAGUCUGGAUUUCGCAAGUUCAACCACAACCUUAGCUGAUAAAAAGAAGGAAUAUAUAAUACAUUGUGUUAGUUCAAUUAUUAAUAUCAUGUUUAAAACUUUAAAUCCAACCAAUAAGUACAACACCUGCAAGGAGCUGAAACUGUUACACAAGCUAAAGAAGGGGAAAUGCAAACAAAAUAAGCAGAUGAGAGGCACUCACCACCCCAGCAAAAACCAACAGCCCCAAUAGCUGAAACACCUUUACUCUUUAAAGCUUCAAUUAUCGGCUUUGUAUCUUCAAAACCUUUGUCCUGUUAAUAUAGCGGGUAAGCAUCAGAGAGCGUCACAAUUUUGUAAAUUUGAUUUGACAUUUAACCCUUCCUAAUGCUCAAUCUACAAAUAAAACCACAUACAAAGGUAGCAGGCUAAUGGCUGAGCUGUUGAAAUGAUAAUUAGUUAAUUACAUCACAUAACUAGAAAUCGCAUUCCAGCCAUACAUCCCCCACUCAGAAUGUUCAAAGUUCCAAUAAGGCAACAAAAAACUGAAUUUCAAUUUUUAAUACCACCAAAAAAUUGUUUCUUUAAUUUAUACAAGAAGAGAAAAAUCAUGAACAAGCAAGUAUUAUAAAUAAGAACUAACCGGUCCAUGAUCUUUUAUCCAAGCGGGAAAGGGCCUGUCAGGGUUCCCAAGGUCCAAGGGCUCACCCUUCAAGAGAUCAGGAACAACCACAUAAUAGCCAGCAGCUGCAACUUUGUCCGCAAGGUUCCUUCAAUACAGAGAACAAAGUCAACAAAAAACAUUACAUACAAGAGAGGUGGAGACAGAGAAGUUUGUAAACAGAGCAGAAUGAAACAGUCAAAUUGUAUUAACAGCAUAGUUCAUCAAAACCUUGGAAAAUUUUAAUUUGUAAGUGAAAACUGCAAGUAACAUGAGCAACCAUUAUAAAUUCUCAUUGAUAUAUAUAUAUAUAUAUACAUGAGAUCAAAGAAAACAUGAACAAGUGAAAAGUGGAAAUAAGUCAAAUAACUGUAUUUGUAGGCAUACCUUAAAUUUGGUGCUUCAUAUCCUGCAAGGAAAAUUGAGCAUAUGAAAUUAGACGAAGGUUUUGGUAAAAGUCAACAACUGUUACUAGAUUAUCUAUAUAUAUAGCACAGGCUCCUGAAAAGAAUGAAAUGCAGAAUUUGAUACCGAAAACAUCGGAGAGGAGAAGAACGGCGAGGUUGGAGUGAGAGGAGCCGGAGAAAUAGGCGUUGACGCCGGCGAUCUUGUCAACGUGGCCAGCUCCGCCGGUGGGGUUGAGGGUUGGUGGAUUUGAGCAGCACUCAGGGCCUGACAUGAUGAUUGCUGAUACUGCUUGCUUCACACUGAGUUCUGAGUGUUGUGAGUCUGUGUUUGACUAGUCUUUGGUUUCGGGUGCUUCGUUAUAUGUAGAAGGAUCAUGAAUAUGAAAUUUUUUGGUAUCUAUAAUUUGGGGAAUUGGGUUUGGCCCCCCUAUGGGGCUCCGCGUCCCACUUAAAGUGGGGAAAUUACUGGAAUGCCCCCUUUAAUAGAAUACGGAACUUUACCGUCCGUAUUUAAUACGGAAGACACAUUUCAGUAUUAUAUUAGUAUGUAAAACGACAGGGGUUUUUUCAAACCCAUUUCAGCGCUUUCAACACCCAUUUCUCCCCCAUUCUCCCCUCGUUCUUCAAUCUUCGAUCUCUGACGCUCCCCUUGCUUGAAUCAUCAUCUGGAAAGGUUCCAUCAUCUCCAUCAAAGCUAUUCAUCAAACCCAUUCUCCCCAUUCAUUGCAUUGAAACCUAGAGGUAAGUAAGUUUGGAUUUUCACCAUUUAACUUGAAAUUAUGUGAAUCUUUCAACCCUAGGGUAGUCGAUUGAUGCUUACGUAGAGGUUAUGUUGGCUGAAAUGGCUUGAAUGUGCUUUGGGGCGAGUUCCGAUNNNNNNNNNNNNNNNNNNNNNNNNNNNNNNNNNNNNNNNNNNNNNNNNNNNNNNNNNNNNNNNNNNNNNNNNNNNNNNNNNNNNNNNNNNNNNNNNNNNNNNNNNNNNNNNNNNNNNNNNNNNNNNNNNNNNNNNNNNNNNNNNNNNNNNNNNNNNNNNNNNNNNNNNNNNNNNNNNNNNNNNNNNNNNNNNNNNNNNNNNNNNNNNNNNNNNNNNNNNNNNNNNNNNNNNNNNNNNNNNNNNNNNNNNNNNNNNNNNNNNNNNNNNNNNNNNNNNNNNNNNNNNNNNNNNNNNNNNNNNNNNNNNNNNNNNNNNNNNNNNNNNNNNNNNNNNNNNNNNNNNNNNNNNNNNNNNNNNNNNNNNNNNNNNNNNNNNNNNNNNNNNNNNNNNNNNNNNNNNNNNNNNNNNNNNNNNNNNNNNNNNNNNNNNNNNNNNNNNNNNNNNNNNNNNNNNNNNNNNNNNNNNNNNNNNNNNNNNNNNNNNNNNNNNNNNNNNNNNNNNNNNNNNNNNNNNNNNNNNNNNNNNNNNNNNNNNNNNNNNNNNNNNNNNNNNNNNNNNNNNNNNNNNNNNNNNNNNNNNNNNNNNNNNNNNNNNNNNNNNNNNNNNNNNNNNNNNNNNNNNNNNNNNNNNNNNNNNNNNNNNNNNNNNNNNNNNNNNNNNNNNNNNNNNNNNNNNNNNNNNNNNNNNNNNNNNNNNNNNNNNNNNNNNNNNNNNNNNNNNNNNNNNNNNNNNNNNNNNNNNNNNNNNNNNNNNNNNNNNNNNNNNNNNNNNNNNNNNNNNNNNNNNNNNNNNNNNNNNNNNNNNNNNNNNNNNNNNNNNNNNNNNNNNNNNNNNNNNNNNNNNNNNNNNNNNNNNNNNNNNNNNNNNNNNNNNNNNNNNNNNNNNNNNNNNNNNNNNNNNNNNNNNNNNNNNNNNNNNNNNNNNNNNNNNNNNNNNNNNNNNNNNNNNNNNNNNNNNNNNNNNNNNNNNNNNNNNNNNNNNNNNNNNNNNNNNNNNNNNNAAGUGUAAUCUCGGUUUUCUGUCCUUCCUGGGAAGCGCUUAUAAACUGGUUGGCUUGGGUGGGUUGAAUUGAACCGGCUGAACUCGUGGCUCCUCCGUACCAUAUGGACCCCAAGAGAUCAUAGCGCCUAGAAGCAAAUGUGAGACCAAUCUUGGAUCUUCACGGGAUACUGAGAGUCCACUUAGAACACCCAGAAUACUCUGCUUCAGAUUUUUCAAAGGAGCCACAGGUGAAGGUUUGGACCAAACAGCUUCUGUGUCAUCAUCGGGAACAAGCUUAGGAGUGCUUAGUAAAAAGAACGGUAAAUCUCUGGAGUCACCAUAUUGAAUUAUAUUUGUAAGCCACUCGUUUAUCUGUGAAACAUCAUCAACUGCACCCUUGUACCCAGCUACAAACUGCCCUGCCUGAUCAGAAUCAUCAAUUAGAUCUUGAACCAGUGAAAUUUUAGUUUUCCACUUUGCCAUUUCCUGUUUCCUGUUAUCAAGAGCACUGCUAUUUCUCAUGUACCGAACAACAAAUAAGCGAGGAGUAUCUGUCAUAUCCCUCCGUUGUCCACAAGUAUGCUCGCUCCCGGUAGAACCAAGGUAAAAUCGACAAUAGUCCUUUUCCUUUUCACCAUCAAGCCAGGCAAAUGUCAACCUCUUUCUCUUCAAUGCAUCCACAGCUGGAGCUAAAGAUUGAUUUACAGACAAUUUUUCUUGAACCCUGCACAUGGUUUCGCGCAACUUGUUCAAUUCCAAACUUGGCCUUCCUACCGCAACAGCACAGUACCAAAUAGUUGUAUCAAAUCCCGCGCGAGAGUAGCCGCGAGGAUCGCAGCCUAGCUCCAUAGAUGUCGCGCUCCGCAGUUGUGGAAGCUCUUGCUUUUUGUUAUCCUCCAUCAUAUUCAGAAAAAGUGUAUCAUUAACUGAACCAUGGUGCACAACAGGUUUCACACCAGGGUCUUUAAGAAAGACUAAAGCAGGUGCAGAUUGCACCCCAAAAGCUCCCAACCAGUAUGAAGAAUCCUCUUCCCGCCAAAGAAUGUUUGCAAAGGAAGCAUAACCCCAAUAGUCUUUCACUGCUUGUCGAAUAAACGGAGCAGCACGGUCCCCAGUUUCCGAAAAAAAUAUGACUUUCACCUUAUGAUGGCUGGAUUUUCCAAGAAAAUUUGGCACAAGUGUCCCCAUGGAGUAGUAGUUGAUUUGGGGUAAAGCCAAUAUAGUUGUAGCAAACCAAUCUGUGACCGUGUCAACAGUAAGCUCACCAUCAAACCUACUGAAACAUUUUGCAGAAACACAUCCUGGAGGAAUAGCAACAAUCAAUGGAACACCCUUUCUGAAAAGAGGCUUUCCUGUUGAACUUCUAUCAGCAAGAAAAACUGCUAAAUCAUUCUCAUUCUCAAUCUCACCAAGUUCCAUUACACCAGAAUUUGCAACACCAUCCAACAAGGAAGCAAUUUGAUUCCAUGGCUUGGAAAACUCAACACAACGAUUGCUCCCGGAUGAAUACAAUUGAAUGAUCCAUGGCUUUGAAUCUGGAAACAUGGACCCAAAAUCACUUGCAGAAAUCUCUUUUGAAGAAGAAUGAUCAACAGACCCAGAAGGGGAAUGCAGCAAAGGAAAGUCCAAAUUCAAUUGUGAAAUGUUUUUCAGCUUGAUAGCACUCUCAAGAACAUGGAAUUGUUCAUCAAUGCCGAAUCUAUCGUAGUCUCUUUUCCACAAACGGUUUGUGAGCAAUUCGUAAGCGUAUCUGAUCUUCAUGAACUCGCGAAUUUCAGAAGCUUCUGCAUCCGAAUUCUUCAUAGACCAUUUGGAUUCAAGGUUGUUAUAUGCCUCCUGCACCGUUUCGAUUGAACUGUACCUCUCGAUUUGCAGAACGUCGUAGUGGGAAGGUGAGGCGUUGGGAAUGAGAACGAGUUGGAAGAGCAUGGCGCCGGCGAGGAGAAUUAGAGGAAUCGCGUACGCUCUGACGGUGGAAACCACCGAAGUUGACGGAGGUGGAAUUGUCGGAGACCCAGACAUGGUGGCGGAAGUGGUGGUGGCGGUGAUUGGAAUCGCGGGAAUUUCGUAAACUCCGUGGACGGGAUUGACAACGUUGUGAGUGAGUAUCGUGUUAUGCAAACCUCGUUGGGAUGUUUCCAAAAAUAAAUCUCAUCUGCAUUUUAUUUUUUAUAUGGAAAUAUGUGAUUGACUUUUUAUUUUUAUUUUGUUAUUACCAUUAUUUAUACUUUUUAUUUUCAUAAAAUAAUGAAACAAAACUCAUAAAGUAAUAAAGUAAUUUGGAUGAGAGAUAAAUAAUUAAUAUUUUAAACUAAGAACUAGGGGUGUACAAGACCCGGCCUUAACCGCCAACCCGUCCCGGCCCAAGCAUUUAGGGUCGGGUUGAACCCGACCCGAUCAUUAAAAGAGACUGGGUUCGGGUUGAUCUUCGAGUUACCCGACUUCGGGUAGGGUCGGGUUCGAGUUGACGCUCGGGUCACCUGGCCUAUCUCACAUAUAUAUUUUAUAAAAUUUUAAUUUGUUAUAAUGAUUCAAAUGUGAUACAUGGUGCUCAAAUUUAUCUUACCAUCUAAAUGAGAUUAAAAUGUUUAACAUAUACCUUAUGAAUUAAAUAAACGUUGGUCAAACUAUGGACACUUUCAUGCUCUAACAAGAGAAAACCAUGUGUGUGUAUUAUGCAUAUGUGAGACAAGUGAAUAAAUGAUUAAACAAAAUGUAAACAUCUCAAGUGCAAUAGAUUAUGAAAGAAUUGAAUCCUUUCAAGUUAUUUCUUCUAAAAAAUAGUUCCAACUUAUAACUCUUUUAGUAUGUUAUUAUCUUUAAAUUUUAAAAUUAGUAUCAAAUAGUCUUAAAUUUAUUGUCCCUCGGGUCAACCCGGUCUCGUCCUACAUAGACCCGUCCUAAAUUGGACCCGCAUAAUGUCGGGUUGUUUCGGGUCUAGGGACGGGUUAGGGUCUAUCAAUUGACCCGAUCAACAUUUAGGACCGGGUUAGGGUUAACCAAAACUCGUCCCAACCUGUCCCUUGUACACCCCUACUAAGAACUCAAAAAGCAAAACUCUUUAUUUAAGAAUUGAGUUCUUAAUUUUAAGAACUAAAAAGUCCAUGUCAGCACCUUCAAUGGUAAAGUUCUUAGUUCUUAACUCCAAAAUAAAAACUAAGAACCUUGCAUUAGAGAUGCUCUUAAAGUUUUUUUUUUUUUAAAAUGGAGUUUAUCUUCCCUUAAAAAAGAAAAAAAAAAUAGAGUUUAUCAUAGUCAGAGAUAUGUGUUUCAAAAAAAAAAAAUAGUCAGAGAUAUGAUUGAUUCUUCAAUUCUGAAAAUUUGAAAUACAGAUAAAAUAAAUUUUUUGACAGAGAAAUACAGAUAAACUUAAUCAAUCGUUUUUAUUUAUUUUAAAUUUUGAAUUAAUUUGAUCUUUUUGAAAGAAUGAAGCCACAUGGUAAUUGGGCACUGGAUUAAUAAUCUACAAAAAUAUUUAGAGGAUCGGAUUAAGAGAUAAAAUAGUAAGUUUUUUUUUUGUCAAAUUAUAAUAGCAAAUCCAAAAAAAUAUUUGGGAGAAGCGGAUUAAGAAUUAGUAAAAUGUUAUGUUAUAUAUAGAUCCAUGAAAGAAAAUUAAAAUAUUGAAGGGUUAUGCCCCUACUAGCCAUUUAGAUACGCCCUCAAUGCGCAAAGGAAAAAGACUCACCGCCCCUAACAAGUGAGAUGUUUGGCUUACCUUUUGCGGAUGAGCUUAAAAGCUUGCAACACUCGUGUAAUAAUGGAACAUAAACAUGGUCUCAUUUCAUAGAUGGAUUUCACAAAUGAUGCAAAAUAAACAGAAAUAAGGUUGUAACAUAAAGCCUUCAAGCAUGAAGUCUUAAGAUCUCAAAUCCUAAACAUCAAAUUUUAUUGUAACAUAAGAAAGCUAAGUGGAAUGGGUAUCAUUUUUAUUUCCUAGCCUCCACUUCAGGACACGAUGAUGCAAUUCCAAUCAACAUAGAAUCUCUAAUUGCAUCCAACAAUUAAGUUUUCUCACUCAAGGUGUUUAUUAAACCAGUCCAACAAUAUUUGAUGGGCCUUCUUUGCAGCUUUCACAGCUUCUGGAUCUUCAGCAUCGUACCUCAAAGUAAACCCAUGUGAGACGUUAGGAAAUAUUUUUACAUAACUAUCAACCUGCACAAAACAAAAAUAGCUACAUCAGUGAUAUCUUAAAUACAUGAGAUAUUCAUCGUCAAGAGUUCUUAUAUGCAUACAUACACUUUUUUUUCAGGGACACACGCAUUAGUGCGGUUUUUAACUGUUUAACUGUCCAACGACGGUUAAAAAAAGAAUGUGUGUGUCGAUUGUGCGUAAUACAUAAUAACAUUUUUGGUCGUCAAUAUGUGCGCAUUCAAUGAUUGAAAUGAACAAUAUGACAUCUUGUAGCAUAUAUAACCAGAAAAAGAAAUGAAGGUUCAUCCAACCCAAGGUUUAUCAGCCAGGACUUCUUUAAAUUGUUUUAUAAGCUCUUCAGGAGUAACUGUGUCAAGCUCAGCUCCAAGUAUAGCAAUAGGAAUAUUAACACCUGAAAGUGAUACCAACACUUAACUAUUAGAAUAUGAACAUCUCAGCCUCUUAUAUCCAAGCAUAUAUACUUAAAUUGAUGGCAUCACAAUUGAAAAGAAGCUGCAACAUGUUAUAGUAAUUUUUUCUGCUUAUAAAGUGCUCUGGCACCCCCUGAACAAAGAAUUUGCAAGUUAAGAAAUAAUCUAAACACUGAAAAUUCAUACCAUCUAUGUCAUCCACAGUGAUAGAUGAUGGAUGUGCAGUCACAACAGCUUGGAUAAGUUUGUAUUUCGCAAGUUCACACACGGUCUUAGCUGAGACAAACAAGAACACAUGGUAAAUUCUUUUGAGUUUAUGAUGAACUUAGUUGUGUUUAAACCUAUGCAACCAAUAUACACCUAAGACGAGCCAAAACAACUACAUACACAAAGGAGGGGAACUGCCAUGAAGAAUUAUCCCAAAAAACUUAAGCAGUUGAGUAAAUGACACAUGAAUGGUUUUAUUUUAUAUUUCUAAGCGGAAAUACACCAAAUAAGUGAAAGGCGUGCACUCACCUCCCCAACAAAAACCAGCAGCACCAAUAAGAGAAGCACCUUUACAUUUUAAGGCUUCAAUGACAGGUUUUACAGCGUCAAAACCUGUGUCCUAUGAGAAAAUGAUGUAUUGCAAUCUACAAAAGGUCAUGAGUUUGUACAUCUAAUUAAAACAAACCAUAAAUAAAGCUGGCAAACCAGCAGCAAAAAUGAUAAUAACAUUACACGGGAAAACAUUGGAAUCAUAACCCAAAAUCAAGAGUACUUAUCAAAGUACCAAUAAGGAUACCAAACAUUAGAUUUCAAUAUAUACACAGGACUUUCUGUUUCUCUUAUAAAAAUUAUCAUUAACAGCCAAGUACCAUUAAAAAGAGAACUAACCGGUUCAUGAUCUUUCACCCAAACAGGUAAAGGCCUGUUAACAUCUUCGGAAUCAAAGGGAUCGCCAUAGAAGAAGUCAGGAACCACCACAAAAUACCUAGCUGCUGCAACCUUGUCUGCAAGCUUCCUUUACAACAAACUAUAUGACUUAAUAGGGGAAAAGUUACAGUUAGCAUCAUAAAAAGAGAGAGUAGACAAAGAGAGCAGAUGAGUUGGAUGAAAUUAACAGCCAAAUCUGUUGGAGUAUUGUUUACCACAAUUGAUUAUGAAACCAAAAUCAAUUAUGGGGAGAAGCUUUUGCGAGUAGUUUCGGAGUUUCAGAAUUGAUUUGGAUGAAAGUGAAACUUUAUCAAAUAUAAACAUAUAUCUAGCAAUGAUCUAACAAGAUAUCGAUAGGCACAUUAAUCUGAAUUUGUGCUGAAUUAAGCCAAAACAACUUGCUCGAACAAAUAACCAUGCAGAUGAUCAAAAUUUUGUAAGUUAUACUUAUACAGAAAGCAAACAUGAGAAAGAGCCAUACCUUAAGACUGGCGCUUCAUAUCCUACAAGACAAAUUAAAUCAAGCAUGUAAAGUUAAACGAAGAUGACUAAUGUCUAAAUUUUUUACACUGUAAGUGCAUAGUAAUUAAACUUAAUUAAGAAUACCAAAAAUAUCAGAAACAAAGAGAAUAGCUCUGUUGGAGUGAGGGGAGCCAGUGAGGUAAGAAUCAAGGCCACCAAAUUUCUGAACAUGGCCUUCUCCACUACAAGGGUCCAGUUUUGGUGGAUUUGAGCAACAUGCUAAGCCUAAGCCUAACCUUGACAUUUCCUCUUUUCUCUUACUUUUACUCUUUUGCUUGCUUUGCUUCCCUCCACCAAUCUCACUCAAUUCAGCUUUUCCAUUUAUAAAGUUCAUUUAAGACUUUGAAUAUUUCAACCUUGUACUUUUCUAUUCAGUUUUUCUUAAUCUCGCUAUCUGUCUGUUGUUUAGUAUUCUUAAAUUUGUUCAGAGGUUUGUGACGUGUUAACUUUUGGUGAGUUCAAUUCCAGGUCGUGACUUUUUUCACCACCAAUCAGAGGUUUUAUUUAUUUAUUCUUGUAUGGAGUUUAUUCACUUCAUCUCUAUACUUUCAUCUGUGUAGAUUAUUUUCUCACAAUUGCAGGUUAAUUUUUUUUGAAAAAAUGUACAGAUUUUAUAAAGUGAAGGAAAUACAAUUUUCUCUUUUAAUUUAACAUACAAUUUUCUCUUUCCUUCCCUGUCAUGACAGAUAUGAGAUAGCAUUGUAGAAAAUUACAUUAUUUAUGACUUAUGAGUAAUAUUCAAAUAUUAUUUACUGGCGGCAAACAUAAAUCAUGUUUACUUUUCAAUGAAAAGUUUAGGCCUUCGUUUUUUCAUUAUGUUAUAUGAUUAUUAUUCAUUUUAAGAUUAAGACUGCUCAAUUAUUUCCUUACUAAACUUGACAAUUUUGUUUUUGCUUGCAGUUAGAAGAAGAAGAAUAUAAUUGUUAAACAAGGGUGUACGAGAUUAAGUAAAACAUAUGAUUAUAAUUGUUAAUCAAAUUAUUGAAAUUGAAAUUUCAACAACUUUAUAGUUUAUUAUAUAAAUAUAUGGCACAAUUUUAACAACAAAUUAUUUUGAGCUUGAACCGGAGACGGUAUAUAAACUUGCACAAUUUAUUUUAAAACUCAACUUUUUAUUAGAACAAAUUAUGCAACAAGAACUUAAUUUACAAACGGGCCCUUAGUUAUCUUUUUAUACACCAGAAUCAUUCAAAGACCACAAUUCCAGAAUUUAUACAUAGACCUUAGCAUUAGGCACUUGGACAAACUCACCCUUGGCGGGGAAUAACUAGAGUUUAAAAACAAAGCUUCUUCAAUCCAAUCCAUUCAAACAAAGUGAAUGAUAACAGAACUUUGAAGAUUAUUUUACAUACGAGGCGAAGCUGAAGAUGUAUUUACCACAGUCCUCGAAAAUAUGACCCAGAAAUUGGAAAAGCAAAGUUAUGAACAAUCUCAGACAAACAAGCUCUUAUUAGAAAAGAGGCAAUAGAAGUUCUUCUUCACAUUCAUAGAACAAGAUUGAUUUCUCACUUGAGAUGUUUAGCAAACCAGUCCAGCAUGUCCUGAUGGGCUUCCUCAGCAGCCUUCACAGCUUCUGCAUCUUCGAUGUUGUAUCUCACACUCCAACCGUGUGAGACUUUAGGAAAUAUUUUAACAUAACUAUCAACCUGCUAAAAAUAAAAAUAACAAUUCAGAAGCCAUAUUAAUCAUUCUCAAUAAGAAACAGUUAUGGGUCCAGCUUUAAGGUCUGAGUUAUGACGUAGACAAGAGGAUGGUGACGAUGAAUGUUUUUCAGUAGCCAAAAACAAGACACAAAGCACAAUGUGCUUGGUAAAAAUGAAAUUUAAACAGAGCUUAGCUACAGAUAGAUUUCUCAAAUUCAACUUGUCUGAACCCAUCAGAACCAAAAAAUGGAAACUGAUAAUGAAAGAACACGUCAUCUUUGAAUUAAAAAUAAAAUCACAUAGUAACCAGAAAAUAUUAUCAUCAUCAGAACAUAAAGGUAAUCUAAAAUGAUGGUAGAUAACCAGCAAAAAGAGAAAAAAAUAUCUGACCCCAGGUUUAGCAGUUAAGACUUGUUCAAACUGUUUCAGAAGCUCUGGAGGAGACAUUUUGUCAAUCUCAGCUCCAAGUAUAGCAAUUGGAAUAUCAACACCUAAAAGUUAGACCAAUAAUUGACUGUUAGAAUAUGAACAUCUUAGUCAAUAGUCACUGCUUAAGAAAUAUGCUUAAAAAUGAGAACGGAAUGAAUUGGUAUGGAACAAACUCCAAUAAAAUAGAACUUAUGCACAAUCAAUUAAAUCAACAGAAGUUAAGUACACUGUUGUAAUAAAAGACAACAGGCAAGGAGAUUUUUUCAACACAAAAAUAAAAUAUAGAUACCCCUGUGUAGCAAAUUAUUGACCUUCAGAAAAAUAGAUUGCAAGCACAGUCCAUAAAAAACACUAUUAUGGUUUGCUCAUCUUUCAAACAAACGUACUUCUAGGACUCAGAAACCUUCAACAUCAUUUAUAAAGUGAAGUGCUCAAUAUUUAGGCUCAGCAUAAGAUGUUUACGGUUUACCAAAUCUAUUUCUCUUUUAUUCAAUCAAAUGUUCAAAAUGUAAUGAUUAUGAUACAGACAUACCAGAAGUAUGUAGAAACAGUAAAAUACACUGCAAGUCAGCAUAAAGACAAAUAUGAUUAUUUAGGAAGUGACUGAGGACUGUAGUUAUAUUCCGAACAUGCCUAAUUGCCUAUUUCAAUGGUAUGACAAGAAGCUGCAACAUAAUUUUGGUAGUCAUCCUUAGAAGAUACAGUGAAGUUUUCAAUAACUAAAAUAUGCAGACAGAAGAAAUUUAAAUAUUGAGAAUUCAUACCAUUGAUGUCAUCCAGAGAGACAAAUGAUGGGUGUAAUUGCACAGCAGCUUGGAUUAGUCUGGAUUUCGCAAGUUCAACCACAACCUUAGCUGAAGGAAAGAAGAGAAAGACUACACUCUGUGAGUUUGAUUGCUUAGUUGUGUUCAUAAUUUCAAACCAUACCAGAAACUACACCUAAGUGAAGCUGAAAGUGCUAUAUAGUAUAUCAAUAUGCAAACAAGAGGAGGGGAAAAUAUAAGCACUCCGAAUGAGUGGAAUGAGAGGUACUUACCUCCCCAACAAAAUCCAGCAGCCCCAAUAGCCGACACACCUUUACUUUUUAAAGCUUCAACUAUGGGUUUGGCAACUUCAAAUCCUUUGUCCUAUUAUUGAUAUGAAAGAAUCAGGGAAUUAUGAAUUACAAAUUACAACACACAAAAAAACCAUUUUUCACUAGAUGAGAAUGACAAUAAAAGUUUACAAAUCAAUGUACAAUUUCUAUACAUUUUAUGCGAGAUAAUCCAUAGUAUUUGAUCCACUCAUCCAAACAUAUAUACUGAUAUACAGGUGGCCCACUAACAUUCAAACAGCUUGUAAUUGUAAAAACCAAUUAUUAUAAAUAAGAACUUACCGUUCCAUGAUCUUUUAACCAAACAGGUAAAGGCCUGUUAGCAUUCUCAGGAUUAUAUGGGUCACCAUAGAAGAAGUCAGGAACAACCACAUAAUAUCCAGCAGCUGCAACCUUGUCUGCAAGGUUCCUUAACAACAGAGGACAAACAGUAUCACUGCCCAGAGAUACACUACAUUUGGCACCAUAGAGAGAGAGAGAGAUGGAGAAAGAGAGAAUUGGAAAAGAGAGUUAAACAGCCAGAUUCCAUUAGUGGAAUAAUUCACCAGAACUUGAUAAAAUUUGAGAGUAAAAGGUAGACUUCCCAAGAAAGAAGAUGAUUAUAUCAUAAUUCAUAAUUUACAGUUAACAUGUUGAUAUAGAUAUAUAUUUGAUUAAUUCCCUACGAAAAUUGAAAUCUAUCAUUCACUGUUACCUAAAGAUUAUGAGCCAUUACUUUAAAAUGGAAAAGUAGGAUUUUUUUGCUAAUUGUGACGCCGCUAUUGCCACUAUAGCGCGCUAUUCGCCUCCAAAUAGCGGCUGAAAUAGUGGAUUUUUUACUCACCAUGAUGGUCCGCGAUUAAUUGGAAAUUGGACAGUAUGAAACCAAGAUAACUUGCUCUAACAUAUAAAGUAAAAAAAUUAGCUAACUUAGAAAUAGACAAUAGGCAUGAGACUUGAGUAUAAGAUCAUACCUUAAAUUCGGCGCUUCAUAUCCUACAAAACAAAUCAAGCAUGUGAAGUUAAAAGAUGAUAUUAUUGGCUACAGGCGAUAAUAACCUUUAAAAAAAUAUAUUGAUACAGCCAACAACAACAAGCAAGCCUUUUCCCACUAGAUGGAGUUGGAAAUGAAACCAGAGUCUCUUCAUAGAAUGCAAAAGUGAAGAUGGGGUGUUUGAAAGAUACCAUAAAUGUCAGAGACAAGUAGAAUGGCAAGCUUAGAGUGAGGGGAGCCAGUGAGAUAGGAAUCAAGACCAGCAAAUUUCUCAACAUGGCCUGCACCUGCAGUGGGGUUAAUGGUUGGUGGGUUUGAGCAACAUUGUGGCCCUGACAUUGCUCUUCUCUUCUCUGCAAUUCACUUCACAGCUCUGCUCUUGGGGAUCAAAUUUUGGAACAGAGAGAGAGAGAGAGAUGACGUGAAGAAAUGGGAGAUUCCACUUUGCUAUUGCUAUGCACUCAUAUCAUUGUGGUCCAUAUAUGGACAACUGCAGG
RNAcentral lists this long non-coding RNA (21024 nucleotides) under Lotus japonicus. RNAcentral's name for it is "long non-coding RNA (LJAP_LNC001902)". Lineage: Eukaryota; Viridiplantae; Streptophyta; Magnoliopsida; Fabales; Fabaceae. The record is from RNAcentral.